This 72-nucleotide transfer RNA is filed under the name Marmota monax (woodchuck). It matches the Rfam family "tRNA". Rfam says of the family: Transfer RNA (tRNA) molecules are approximately 80 nucleotides in length. Their secondary structure includes four short double-helical elements and three loops (D, anti-codon, and T loops). Lineage: Eukaryota; Metazoa; Chordata; Mammalia; Rodentia; Sciuridae. RNAcentral also lists the same sequence under 2 other names. The record is from Rfam by way of RNAcentral.
GGGGUUGAAGCUCAGUGGUAGAGCACUUGCUUAAAAUGUGUGAGGCCCUGGGUUCGAUCCUCAGCAUCACAU